Molecule: ribosomal RNA, 253 nt
Filed under: uncultured bacterium
Lineage: Bacteria
Description: partial 16S ribosomal RNA
Rfam family: Bacterial small subunit ribosomal RNA
Source: RNAcentral
UACGGAGGGUGCGAGCGUUAAUCGGAAUUACUGGGCGUAAAGCGUGCGCAGGCGGUUUUGUAAGCCAGAUGUGAAAUCCCCGGGCUUAACCUGGGAAUGGCAUUUGGGACUGCAAGGCUGGAGUGCGGCAGAGGAGACUGGAAUUCCUGGUGUAGCAGUGAAAUGCGUAGAUAUCAGGAGGAAUACCGAUGGCGAAGGCAGGUCUCUGGGCUGACACUGACGCUCAUGCACGAAAGCGUGGGGAGCAAACAGG